AAUAUUGCACAAUGGGGGAAACCCUGAUGCAGCGACGCCGCGUGAGCGAAGAAGGCCUUCGGGUCGCAAAGCUCUGUCCUAAGGGAAGAAACGGACGGUACCUAAGGAGGAAGCCCCGGCUAACUACGUGCCAGCAGCCGCGGUAAUACGUAGGGGGCGAGCGUUGUCCGGAAUUACUGGGCGUAAAGGGCGUGUAGUCGACUGAUUAAGGUAGAUGUGAAAGGACCCGGCUUAACCGGUGUAUUGCGUUUGAAACUGGUUAGCUUGAGUGCAGGGGAGGAAAGUGGAAUUCCUAGUGUAGCGGUGAAAUGCGUAGAUAUUAGGAGGAACACCAGUGGCGAAGGCGACUUUCUGGACUGCAACUGACGCUGAGGCGCGAAAGCGUGGGUAGCGAAC
This 396-nucleotide ribosomal RNA is filed under the name uncultured bacterium. Its description in RNAcentral is "partial 16S ribosomal RNA". It matches the Rfam family "Bacterial small subunit ribosomal RNA", at positions 360 to 773 of the family's 1533-position model. The record is from RNAcentral.